This 460-nucleotide ribosomal RNA is filed under the name uncultured bacterium. RNAcentral's name for it is "partial 16S ribosomal RNA". It matches the Rfam family "Bacterial small subunit ribosomal RNA", at positions 338 to 795 of the family's 1533-position model. The record is from RNAcentral.
CCUACGGGAGGCAGCAGUGAGGAAUAUUGGUCAAUGGGCGCGAGCCUGAACCAGCCAAGUAGCGUGAAGGAUGACUGCCCUACGGGUUGUAAACUUCUUUUAUAAAGGAAUAAAGUGAGACACGUGUGCAUUUUUGAAUGUACUUUAUGAAUAAGGAACGGCUAACUCCGUGCCAGCAGCCGCGGUAAUACGGAGGAUCCGAGCGUUAUCAGGAUUUAGUAGGUGUAAAGGGAGUGUUGACGGGUGGUUAAGGCAGUUGUGAAAGUGUGGGGCUCAACCGUAAAAUUGCAAUUGAUACUGGCAGCCUUGAGUACAGGUGAGGUAGGCGGAAUUCGUGGUGUAGCGGUGAAAUGCUUAGAUAUCACGAAGAACUCCGAUUGCGAAGGCAGCCUACUAAACUGCCACUGACAUUGAUGCUCGAAAGUGUGGGUAUCAAACAGGAUUAGAUACCCUGGUAGUC